RNAcentral lists this ribosomal RNA (395 nucleotides) under uncultured bacterium. RNAcentral describes it as "partial 16S ribosomal RNA". It matches the Rfam family "Bacterial small subunit ribosomal RNA", at positions 338 to 730 of the family's 1533-position model. The record is from RNAcentral.
CCUACGGGUGGCAGCAGUGAGGAAUAUUGGUCAAUGGUCGCAAGACUGAACCAGCCAAGCCGCGUGCAGGAUGACGGCUCUAUGAGUUGUAAACUGCUUUUGUACGAGGGUAAACGCAGACACGCGUACCUGUCUGAAAGUAUCGUACGAAUAAGGAUCGGCUAACUCCGUGCCAGCAGCCGCGGUAAUACGGAGGAUUCAAGCGUUAUCCGGAUUUAUUGGGUUUAAAGGGUGCGUAGGCGGUCGGGUAAGUUGGCGGUGAAAUCCCGAGGCUCAACUUCGGCAUUGCCGCUGAAACUGGUCGGCUAGAGUGGGAUGGAGGUAUGCGGAAUGGGUGGUGUAGCGGUGAAAUGCUUAGAGAUCACACAGAACACCGAUUGCGAAGGCAGCAUACC